Molecule: ribosomal RNA, 465 nt
Filed under: uncultured bacterium
Lineage: Bacteria
Description: partial 16S ribosomal RNA
Rfam family: Bacterial small subunit ribosomal RNA
Source: RNAcentral
CCUACGGGGGGCAGCAGUGGGGAAUAUUGCGCAAUGGGCGAAAGCCUGACGCAGCGACGCCGCGUGAGGGAUGAAGGUCUUCGGAUCGUAAACCUCUGUCAGCAGGGAAGAACGGUCACUGUGCUAAUCAGCAGUGAAUUGACGGUACCUGCAAAGGAAGCACCGGCUAACUCCGUGCCAGCAGCCGCGGUAAUACGGAGGGUGCGAGCGUUAAUCGGAAUUACUGGGCGUAAAGGGCUCGUAGGCGGUAUGUCAAGUCAAGGGUGAAAUCCCCGCGCUCAACGUGGGAACUGCCUUUGAAACUGGGAAGCUGGAGGGUGUGAGAGGAUAGUGGAAUUCCAGGUGUAGGGGUGAAAUCCGUAGAUAUCAGGAGGAACAUCAGUGGCGAAGGCGACUAUCUGGCACAUAACUGACGCUGAGGAGCGAAAGCGUGGGUAGCAAACAGGAUUAGAUACCCGAGUAGUC